GUGAGCCUACGGGGGGCAGCAGUGGGGAAUAUUGGGCAAUGGGCGCAAGCCUGACCCAGCAAUGCCGCGUGAAGGAAGAAGGCUUUCGGGUUGUAAACUUCUUUGACAGGGGAAGAGCAGAAGACGGUACCCUGAAAACAAGCCACGGCUAACUACGUGCCAGCAGCCGCGGUAAUACGUAGGUGGCAAGCGUUGUCCGGAUUUACUGGGUGUAAAGGGCGUGUAGCCGGGAAGGCAAGUCAGAUGUGAAAUCUGGAGGCUCAACCUCCAACUUGCUUUUGAAACUGUUUUUCUUGAGUACUGGU
RNAcentral lists this ribosomal RNA (305 nucleotides) under uncultured bacterium. RNAcentral describes it as "bacterial SSU rRNA". It matches the Rfam family "Bacterial small subunit ribosomal RNA", at positions 333 to 653 of the family's 1533-position model. The record is from RNAcentral.